ACUUAAUUUCUCUCUUCUUUUAUCUCAACUUUUAAUCAUUCUCUUUUUUUUUAUUUUCUUUCCAAACAAUAACAUCAUUAUAAUACCACCACGUAGCCAUCGACAACUGUGUACUUCCAUACACCUUCCGCCAUUCUACUCUCUAUUUCAACAUCUCCAUUCACUUUCUCUUUCAUCAACUUCCAUACUGUCUUUUUCAACGGCUUCACUACUGUCUCUAUCAACAGCUUCCUCUGACGGGCUAACAUCGAUCUCCAGCUCGCUUGGCACCUGCCCAUUUGGCAAUCUUCUCAAUCUUUCAUGCGCAUACUUAUAACGUCUAUUACCCUUCAUACUCUUUAAGGUAUAUCUGUCAUUAUUCAAUACUUCUGUAAUCUCAAAUGGACCUCGAUAUUUAGCAUCUAAUUUAGUCUGGUUUCUCUCACUAUUAUUAAGCAACACAAAAUCUCCAACACUAAAUUUUACUACCUUAGCUCUGCCUUUAUCAAAUCUUUCUUUCUCAUACUUUGCCGAUCUUUCUAUAUUUUCUAAAGCUUGAGUUCUUAUCUUGGUCAGAUCUAUUUCUGUUUCUGGAUCAUGAAUUGGAACCAGACCUAAGGGACGAGCAACCUUUCCCAUUAAUAAUUCUAACGGGCUGGCUUUGGUUAUCUUAUUAGCAGUACAAUUAAUAGCUAACUGCACGUCACCCAAUGCCUCUUGCCAAGAUCUAGAACUUGUUUCAACAGCUGUCAAUACAUUUUUUAAGGUACUCAUAACCCUCUCAACCUGGCCAUUACCUCGGCUUGCUCCUGUUGCUAUCAAAUGUAGUUUUAUGUUUUGGGAAGAGCAAAAUUCAACAAACUUGGCGCCUGUGAAACUUCUUCCCUGAUCAGCCACAAUACGAAUAGGAACUCCAAACAAAGAAAUUGAUGAUUUCAACGCCAUUAUACAACUUUCUGCACUUAAUGUGAAAGUGUGGUAAAGAUAAACGUACUUGCUUGCCUGCUUUGUCUAUGUGGAUAGUAUGCCAUGGAACGUUUAUUUUGGGAAUAGGAUGUAAUUCCAUUUGUACUUUCCCAGAGGAUGAUUUGGAAACUCUGCACGUUAUGCAAUUUUCAACAAAUCUUCGAACGUAUUUGGCCAUGCCCUCAAACCAAAAGUAAUCGUAUACCUUGUCGAGUGUUUUCUCCCAGCCCAGAUGCAUUAUGGAUUCAUGUACUUGGUUAAUAACCGACCAUCUAAAUCCGCGAGGCACUACUGGCAAACACUGCGUCUUGCCAUUUCUUUGUAUCACUCUAUACAAAACUCCACCUCUCAAAUCAUAUGUCUUAGACAACUCGAAUGGUAAUGCAUCACCGUUCAACUUGAUACUUCAGUUAAUUCGAUUCGCUUUUCAACGAUUUUUGCAUAUUCAGGGGAAUUUUCCGGAGGAAGUGGAUUUCUGGGCCAUACGCUGGGGCCCUAUACUGUAUAUCAAAAUCGAAGAUCUGCAAAAAAGCCCACCAGCGAUAGACUCUAGGCAAAAACUCAAUCUUAUUUCGUGAUGAUUUUAACGACUUACAGUCAGUGAAUAUUACAAACUUUCUGCCA
Molecule: long non-coding RNA, 1569 nt
Organism: Drosophila yakuba
Lineage: Eukaryota; Metazoa; Arthropoda; Insecta; Diptera; Drosophilidae
Exons: 3
Source: RefSeq, a predicted model, not a curated record